Molecule: ribosomal RNA, 737 nt
Filed under: Priestia megaterium
Lineage: Bacteria; Bacillati; Bacillota; Bacilli; Caryophanales; Bacillaceae
Description: bacterial SSU rRNA
Rfam family: Bacterial small subunit ribosomal RNA
Source: RNAcentral
GGCUGGGGGUGGCAUAAUACAUGCAAGUCGAGCGAACUGAUUAGAAGCUUGCUUCUAUGACGUUAGCGGCGGACGGGUGAGUAACACGUGGGCAACCUGCCUGUAAGACUGGGAUAACUUCGGGAAACCGAAGCUAAUACCGGAUAGGAUCUUCUCCUUCAUGGGAGAUGAUUGAAAGAUGGUUUCGGCUAUCACUUACAGAUGGGCCCGCGGUGCAUUAGCUAGUUGGUGAGGUAACGGCUCACCAAGGCAACGAUGCAUAGCCGACCUGAGAGGGUGAUCGGCCACACUGGGACUGACACACGGCCCAGACUCCUACGGGAGGCAGCAGUAGGGAAUCUUCCGCAAUGGACGAAAGUCUGACGGAGCAACCCCGCGUGAGUGAUGAAGGCUUUCGGGUCGUAAAACUCUGUUGUUAGGGAAGAACAAGUACCAGAGUAACUGCUCGUACCUUGACGGUACCUAACCAGAAAGCCACGGCUAACUACGUGCCAGCAGCCGCGGUAAUACGUAGGUGGCAAGCGUUAUCCGGAAUUAUUGGGCGUAAAGCGCGCGCAGGCGGUUUCUUAAGUCUGAUGUGAAAGCCCACGGCUCAACCGUGGAGGGUCAUUGGAAACUGGGGAACUUGAGUGCAGAAGAGAAAAGCGGAAUUCCACGUGUAGCGGUGAAAUGCGUAGAGAUGUGGAGCAACACCAGCGGCGAAGGCGGCUUUUUGGUCUGUAACUGACGCUGAGGCG